GAUUUAUAAAGAAGAGGUGAGAGAGCAGGCUCCACGACCCUCUAGCAACCAGCAGUGCAGACUGAAAAGGUGCUAACUCCUGCCCAAUUUUGGGACAUAUAAAUU
Molecule: non-coding RNA, 105 nt
Filed under: Pontibacter flavimaris
Lineage: Bacteria; Pseudomonadati; Bacteroidota; Cytophagia; Cytophagales; Hymenobacteraceae
Also listed under: 1 other name
Description: Pontibacter sp. S10-8 SAM riboswitch aptamer (S box leader)
Rfam family: SAM riboswitch aptamer (S box leader)
About the family: The SAM riboswitch is found upstream of a number of genes which code for proteins involved in methionine or cysteine biosynthesis in Gram-positive bacteria. The SAM riboswitch acts at the level of transcription termination control.
Source: Rfam by way of RNAcentral